AUCGCUGAACCACCUGCGAACAGCUGUUUACGUGCGCGAUGUCGCACUGAACUACAGAAACCGCCGUCGCGCACUCCACGACAAAUCUUAACUAACGUUUUUAAAUUGGCCGUGUCUGCUGUGCCCGGGGCACAGCAGACGAAAGGUGCCCGAAAUGUCUACGUUCACCUAUGACGUCACGUCCGCUAUAACCCAUGAUGUCACAUCCGCUCAUUUCCAUGGCGGCCGUCUUACGGAGCCGGCUGCGCUGCGAAACGGUCCGUAUUCCAUGCCCACUUAGAGCACUGAACAUCCCACAUCUUGGUUUGACUUCCUGGUACAGGAUACUUGCACUUAGCAUGGAGUGAUGAAGCAGAGCAGUGUACUUUUAUUAAAUGUGCAGAUUUUAGCAGUAUAACAGCAGUUCAUUAAAAAAACGUGUGCUGAAAAUAAAGUGUUCUUACCCACA
This 448-nucleotide long non-coding RNA is filed under the name Dermacentor andersoni. RNAcentral's name for it is "uncharacterized LOC126539749". Lineage: Eukaryota; Metazoa; Arthropoda; Arachnida; Ixodida; Ixodidae. The record is from RNAcentral.